UGAUUAUAGCUUUCACUCUUUAAUUACCUU
RNAcentral lists this non-coding RNA (30 nucleotides) under Rattus norvegicus (Norway rat). Lineage: Eukaryota; Metazoa; Chordata; Mammalia; Rodentia; Muridae. The record is from RNAcentral.